Molecule: long non-coding RNA, 539 nt
Filed under: Musa acuminata (dwarf banana)
Lineage: Eukaryota; Viridiplantae; Streptophyta; Magnoliopsida; Zingiberales; Musaceae
Description: long non-coding RNA (MACU_LNC004665)
Source: RNAcentral
AGAGCCGACCUAGCAUUAGGGCACGGGUGACGAGGGCCGCUUAAGCAUUUUGGUCCGCCGUUGAGGACCAAAAUGGAGUUAUUGGCUAGUUAGCUCAUCAGACCCGGUUCGUGACAUUUUGGUAUCAGAGCCGACCUAGCAUUAGGGCAGGGUGAGAGGGCUGCAGUAGGAAAGGGCUACCCGUGGAUGGAGUCAGAGAACUCGUCACGGCGUGGAGCCACCACUGAGGACGUCAAGCUAAUUGGGUUGGGGAUAAUGUAAUAUCCCAUUAGUCCCACAUCGGAAGUGGGGAAUGUGUAUGAUUAGCUUAUAAGGGCCUGAUGAGUAUACCACGUUACCUCCGGCUUAAGCAUUUUGGUCCGCCGUUGAGGACCAAAAUGGAGUUAUUGGCCAGUUAGCUCAUCAGACCCGGGUCGUGACAUUUUUGGAUAAUGUAAUAUCCCAUUAGUCCCACAUCGGAAGUGGGGAAUGUGUGUGAUUAGCUUAUAAGGGCCUGAUGAGUGUACUACGUUACCUCCCGCUUAAGCAUUUUGGUCCGC